AAGGUUUCCUGGGGAAGGUUCAUCCGCCCAGGGUCAGUCGGGACCUAAGCCGAGGACGGAAGUCGUAGGCGAUGGACAGCAGGUGGAGAUUCCUGCACCGCCAUAAGAAUGAGGCAAUGACACAGAAGGAUACCGUGAGCCGGGUGAUGGUCAACCCGGUUGUCAAACGAGGCUGGUAGUUAGUCAAGUACGGCUACCGUAAGGCAGAGUGAAGACGAGAGCGAAAAUUAGAGUAGCGAAACACGGGAUUUCACGCUGGCGAGAAAAGUUGCUAGUAUAUUGAAGUGGCGCCCGUACCGCAAAACCGACGCAGGUAGGCGAGGUGAGAAUCCUAAGACGAACGGGAGAAUCCCUGUUAAGGAACUCGGCAAAAUGACCCCGUAACUUCGGGAGAAGGGGUGCCGACGAAAAGUCGGUCGCAGAGAAUAGGCUCAAGCGACUGUUUAGCAAAAACACAGGUAUCUGCGAAAAGCGAGAGCUGACGUAUAGGUGCUGACACCUGCCCGGUGCUGAAGGUUAAGGGAAUGUCAUCGCAAGAGAAG
Molecule: ribosomal RNA, 542 nt
Filed under: uncultured bacterium
Lineage: Bacteria
Description: bacterial LSU rRNA
Rfam family: Bacterial large subunit ribosomal RNA
Source: RNAcentral